GACGAACGCUGGCGGCGUGCUUAACACAUGCAAGUCGAACGGAAAGGCCCUGCUUUUGUGGGGUGCUCGAGUGGCGAACGGGUGAGUAACACGUGAGUAACCUGCCCUUGACUUUGGGAUAACUUCAGGAAACUGGGGCUAAUACCGGAUAGGAGCUCCUGCUGCAUGGUGGGGGUUGGAAAGUUUCGGCGGUUGGGGAUGGACUCGCGGCUUAUCAGCUUGUUGGUGGGGUAGUGGCUUACCAAGGCUUUGACGGGUAGCCGGCCUGAGAGGGUGACCGGCCACAUUGGGACUGAGAUACGGCCCAGACUCCUACGGGAGGCAGCAGGGGGGAAUAUUGCACAAUGGGCGGAAGCCUGAUGCAGCCACGCCGCGUGCGGGAUGACGGCCUUCGGGUUGUAAACCGCUUUCGCCUGUGACGAAGCGUGAGUGACGGUAAUGGGUAAAGAAGCACCGGCUAACUACGUG
RNAcentral lists this ribosomal RNA (468 nucleotides) under uncultured bacterium. RNAcentral's name for it is "partial 16S ribosomal RNA". It matches the Rfam family "Bacterial small subunit ribosomal RNA", at positions 28 to 507 of the family's 1533-position model. The record is from RNAcentral.